Molecule: unclassified non-coding RNA, 1705 nt
Filed under: Hevea brasiliensis (rubber tree)
Lineage: Eukaryota; Viridiplantae; Streptophyta; Magnoliopsida; Malpighiales; Euphorbiaceae
Source: RNAcentral
AUUUUCUAUGGAGGUAUAUUGCGACUGUUGCUUCCAAUAUUUCAUUACACACCAAAAAAAAUUAGCAGUCUAGUUUAUUCAUCAUCCACCACAGGUUUAAUUAAAAGACUAUUUGAUUAAAAUUCAAAGCAAAGAAUCAGGUUAAAAUGGAAGAGAAAACAACAAGAACCUAGAAAAUAGAAGAGACAAGAAAAUAGAUAUGCACAAACACUAUAAUGCAUGUCCAAGCAGCCCAACUAGUGCUCAAACUGCCCCUUGCAAAUUCACACGGUGGCAUCUGGACUGUCAUACUUCUUACCUCUCUUAGCAGCUUUGCUCUGGUUCUUCUACUAACGCAUUAAAUAGCAACUCAGGUCUUAUGCCUAUAACUAGAAAAGCUUUCCUGGUUGUUGUACUCCACUUCUCUUCUCAUCAUAGUGCAGAAUUCUUCAUAGUUGAUUUUCCCAUCAUUAUCUGUAUCCACCUCAGAAAUUAUUUCCUUAAUACUGGCCUCAUCUCCCAUACCAUACUCCAUCAUGGCAGACUCUAAUUCAUCUCUUGUUAUAUACCCACUGCUAUCCUUAUCAAAGUACUGAAAUGCUUUGUAUAGAUGCUCAUCUCUUUCCAGUCGAUAUCUAUGCAUUGUAGCAGAGAUAAACUCAAUGUAGUCGAUUGUUCCAUUUCCAUCCACAUCGGCAGCUUCCAUUAAUUGUUUAACUUCAGUUUCAGAGAGCCUUGACCCAAGUCGAGCUAAACCUGUCUUCAGCUCUUCAUAGGUGAUUGACUCUUGUCAGUGUCCAUGUUUGUGAACAUUGCUUUAAGACCUUUAAUUUCUUCUUCAGAGAGAUUUUCAGCAAUAACCUUUAAUGCUAGCUUCUUGAGCUUAUUCAUUGCCCUGAAUUGCUUCAUUCUAGAGAGAACUGCACUAUCUAUUGGCUUGUCUGAUGCUGCACCUCCAUCUUUAAUCCAUGGAUGGUCAAGAACUUGUGCUGAAGUAAUUCGCCUUUUUGGGUCCUGAGUCAGCAUUCUCCUGACCAGAUCUUUGGCACUGUCAGAUAUUGAUGGCCAUGGUGAACUUUCAAAAUCAAUGUAUCCUUCUAGAAUAGCAUCAAAUAUUCCUUUUUCAGUUUCAGCCCAAAAUGGAGGUACACCACUGAGUAGAAUAUACAAAAUAACUCCUGCACUCCAAAUAUCUAUUUCCUUUCCAUAACUACGCCUCAAUACUUCAGGAGCAACAUAAUAAGCACUACCAACUAUAUUACGGUAUGUUUUCCCUUCCUCAAUGAACACAGACAGUCCAAAAUCAGUGGUCUUCAACAUUGCUCCCUCAUCCUUGCUAGCCAGCAAGAAAUUCUCCGGCUUGAGAUCACGGUGCAUCACUCCCAUAAAAUGGCAAGCGUGCACCACAUUCACAAUAUCCUUGCAAAUCCUAGCGGCAUCUCUCUCCGAAUAAUGCCCUUUAGCAAUAAUACGAUCAAAAAGUUCCCCUCCAGCACAAAGCUCCAUCACAACAUGAACAGAUUGCCUAUCCUCAUAGGAACCCCUAAACUCUACAAUAUUUGGCUGCCCAGACAAGUGCUGCAUAAUCUGAACCUCUCUCUUGAUAUCUUCUCUGUCACCCUUAUUGGUUAGUUUUCUCUUCAGUAUGGAUUUGCAGGCAUAAAUGUGGCCAGUGGAAUUCUCUGUGCACAAAUAAGUAAUACCAAAUUGGCCUCUACCCAGUUCU